RNAcentral lists this ribosomal RNA (422 nucleotides) under uncultured bacterium. RNAcentral's name for it is "bacterial SSU rRNA". It matches the Rfam family "Bacterial small subunit ribosomal RNA", at positions 355 to 774 of the family's 1533-position model. The record is from RNAcentral.
UAAGGAAUAUUGGACAAUGGAGGCAACUCUGAUCCAGCCAUGCCGCGUGAAGGAAUAAGGCCCUAUGGGUUGUAAACUUCUUUUAGACGGGACGAAACCCCUUUACGUGUAAAGGGUUGAUGGUACUGUCAGAAUAAGCAUCGGCUAACUUCGUGCCAGCAGCCGCGGUAAUACGAAGGAUGCAAGCGUUAUCCGGAAUUAUUGGGUUUAAAGGGUGCGUAGGCGGACUAAUAAGUCAGUGGCGAAAGCCUGCAGCUUAACUGCAGAAUUGCCAUUGAUACUGUUAGUCUUGAGUACAGUUGAGGUAGGCGGAAUGUGUCAUGUAGCGGUGAAAUGCUUAGAUAUGACACAGAACACCGAUUGCGAAGGCAGCUUGCUAAGCUGUAACUGACGCUGAGGCACGAAAGCGUGGGGAGCAAACA